This 1023-nucleotide ribosomal RNA is filed under the name Triticum aestivum (bread wheat). RNAcentral's name for it is "partial small subunit ribosomal RNA". Lineage: Eukaryota; Viridiplantae; Streptophyta; Magnoliopsida; Poales; Poaceae. The record is from RNAcentral.
AUGGAGAGAACCCCAGUGAUUCCUCGCGUCGGUCUCGGCGCCCAGGGACUGGAGGUGUCUAAGCUGGGGCUGGGGUGCAUGGGCCUGACGGGCUCGUACAACUCCCCGCUCGACGACGACGCCGGCGCCGCCGUCAUCGCGCACGCCUUCCGCCGCGGCGUCACCUUCUUCGACACCUCCGACUUCUACGGGCCCCACGCCAACGAGGUACUCCUCGGCAAGGCGCUGAAGCAGCUGCCGAGGGAGCAGGUGCAGGUGGCCACCAAGUUCGGGAUCCAGCUGCAGGCCGGGGGCACCAGCUUGUGCGGCCGGCCGGAGUAUGUGCGCGAAGCCUGCGAGGCCAGCCUGCACCGCCUCGGCGUCGACUACAUCGACCUCUACUACCAGCACCGGAUCGACACCACCACCCCCAUCGAGGACACGAUAGGUGAGCUCAAGAAGCUGGUGGAGGAGGGGAAGGUCAGGUACAUUGGGCUGUCGGAGGCGAGCCCCGACACCAUCAGGCGUGCUCAUGCCGUGCACCCGAUCUCCGCGGUGCAGAUGGAGUGGUUGCUGUGGGCUCGCGACAUCGAGCCCGACAUUGUGCCGCUCUGCAGAGAACUGGGGAUUGGAAUUGUUCCUUACAGCCCGAUCGGCCGCGGGUUCUUCGGCGGAAGAGGAGUCACGGAACAAGUCUCUGAUGAAUCCAAUAUGAAAGGGCACCCACGGUUUUCAGCAGAAAAUCUGGAGAAGAACAAGCAUCUUUAUCUGAAGAUGGAGGAACUGGCUAGGAAGCACCAGUGCAGUCCUGCUCAGCUAGCUUUAACUUGGGUUCUGCAUCAAGGGGGUGAUGUGGUUCCCAUACCAGGGACAACCAAGAUCAAGAAUCUGGACUCCAACAUUGACUCCUUAAAGAUAAAGCUCACAGAAGAUGACCUGAAAGAAAUUAGCAGCCAGAUACGUGAAGAAGAUGUGGCCGGUGGAAGGAGUUAUACUUCCUUUGCCCAUGCCAACUGGAACCAUGCAGACGCACCAAAGAAGUAG